Molecule: long non-coding RNA, 1053 nt
Filed under: Olea europaea subsp. europaea
Lineage: Eukaryota; Viridiplantae; Streptophyta; Magnoliopsida; Lamiales; Oleaceae
Source: RNAcentral
CUUGAUCCUCUCUUUAGCUUUCAGCCUCUGCUGCUAUAUGUAAUUAACUUCUUCAAUUUGUUUCUUAUAAGACCUAAAACACAGUUCCUAUUUAUAGCUAUAUUUUAUUCUGUUUCUUUAAAGUCUUCUAUUUUCCCUUCUCUUUUUACUCAGUGGAGCUGAGAUUGGAAGGUUCGUUUCCAUGCUGCGAUAGCCUUCAACAAUACUAAAGGCUUGUGCUGCAUUUGCUCUUCUUCAGGUAGAAGAUUAUUCUGUGUGUGUGUCUAACGGUCCUCGGAAAUUUGUGGAAAAAAAGGGAUUAACUGUCAUUGUCCUUGGCUAAUUUCUAUUUUUGAUUGCAGCUUACCAUCCCAGGGGGCCGGCAUGCGCAGCAUCACGUUAGCCUUCUGCAGAACGCUGGAGCAUCACGGGUGAUUCGAGCUGCAGCAGCCGCAACAGGUGGCCUGCUUGAAGCAAAAAUCUUCGCAAAAAUUGUACUUCGGAAUGUGGAAUUUUAGAGAAUCUCUCUGAAGAAUUGUUGAGCGGGUUGUGUUAUCUCAAGCUAGAACUCAUCAGCUGUUGCCAAUGCCAUUUGCUUUUAGGUCAGCAUUUUCUUGUCAUUGGUGCUAUAUGAGAUCCUCCUGAAGGACCUGUAGUUCAGUGCAAACUUAAUUUAGGUGGGCUGCAUAUUUCUCUGGGAUAUGGAGUGAUUUGCUUCUAUAUUUGUUAUCGUUCGAUUCGUCAUUGAUGGAUUGCCCUUAACCUCGUACCACUGAGAAAUGAAGCAUGGUGCUGGAAACAUGUUUCAUUACCCGUGUGGAUUUCGAGCAACUUGUAUGCAAGUUUCCUAUGGUUGCACAUUUUUUACAUUCAUUAGUAUCCUAUAGGUUUUCACUUGGGAACAUUUGAGGUCAUGUUGAUGUAGUAAAAAUAAGUUGAACUUUCUUCUAUGAUGUUCUUUUUUUCCUAGAAAAUCAACCUCAAAAACAAGGUUUAGACAUGAUGGCAUGUCUGCUAGGAAAGAUUGGAUAAUACUGGGCAGAAUUAGCAAAUAAUCCAACAUGUGAUUUGUCA